This 148-nucleotide non-coding RNA is filed under the name Nomascus leucogenys (northern white-cheeked gibbon). The record is from Rfam by way of RNAcentral. Lineage: Eukaryota; Metazoa; Chordata; Mammalia; Primates; Hylobatidae.
GCCGGGCCUGGUGGCACUGGCCUGUAGUCCCAGCUACUCGGGAGGCUGAGGCAGGAGAAUCGUUUGAAUCCAGGAAGCCGAGGUUGCAGUGAGCCGAGAUUGUGCCACUGCACUCCAGCCUGGAUGUUACAGCGAGACUCUGUCUCUA